RNAcentral lists this unclassified non-coding RNA (366 nucleotides) under Agaricus campestris. RNAcentral's name for it is "partial internal transcribed spacer region". The stretch from base 1 to 46 matches the Rfam family "Eukaryotic small subunit ribosomal RNA", at positions 1786 to 1831 of the family's 1831-position model. Lineage: Eukaryota; Fungi; Basidiomycota; Agaricomycetes; Agaricales; Agaricaceae. RNAcentral also lists the same sequence under 1 other name. The record is from RNAcentral.
AAGUCGUAACAAGGUUUCCGUAGGUGAACCUGCGGAAGGAUCAUUAUUGAAUUAUGUUUCUAGAUGGGUUGUAGCUGGCUCUUUGGAGCAUGUGCACGCCUGUUUGGAUUUCAUUUUCAUCCACCUGUGCACCUAUUGUAGUCUUUGGCUUGGGUAUUGAGGAAGUGGUCAACCUGUCAGCAUUUGCUGGAUGUGAGGAGUUUGCAGUGUGAAAGCAUUGCUGCCCUUUACUUGGCCAUGGAGUCUUGCCUGCCAGAGUCUAUGUCAUUCACUAUACCCUCUCGAAUGUUAUCGAAUGUUUUUACAUGGGCUUUCAUGCCUAUGAAAAUUAUAAUACAACUUUCAGCAACGGAUCUCUUGGCUCUC